Molecule: ribosomal RNA, 442 nt
Filed under: uncultured bacterium
Lineage: Bacteria
Description: partial 16S ribosomal RNA
Rfam family: Bacterial small subunit ribosomal RNA
Source: RNAcentral
CCUACGGGAGGCUGCAGUGGGGAAUAUUGGGCAAUGGGCGCAAGCCUGAUCCAGCAACGCCGCGUGAAGGAAGAAUGCUUUCGGGUUGUAAACUUCUUUUGUCAGGGAAGAGUAGAAUACGGUACCUGACGAAUAAGCCACGGCUAAAGACGUGCCAGCAGCCUCGGUAAUACGUAGGUGGCAAGCGUUGUCCGGAUGUACUUGGUGUAAAGGGCGUGUAGUCGGGUUGACAAGUCAGAUGUGAAAUCCUGGGGCUUAACCGCCAGACUGCAUGUGAAACUGUUGAUCUUGAGUGCUGGAGAGGCAGAUGGAAUUCCGAGUGUAGCGGUGAAAUGCGUAGAUAUUAGGAGGAACACCAGUGGCGAAGGCGGUCUGCUGGACAGCAACUGACGGUGAGGCGCGAAAGCGUGGGGAGCAAACAGGAUUAGAUACCCUAGUAGUC